UACAGAGGGGGCAAGCGUUGUUCGGAAUUACUGGGCGUAAAGGGCGCGUAGGCGGCCCGCUAAGUCGAACGUGAAAUCCCCAGGCUCAACCUGGGAACUGCGUCCGAUACUGGCAGGCUUGAAUCCGGGAGAGGGAUGUGGAAUUCCAGGUGUAGCGGUGAAAUGCGUAGAUAUCUGGAGGAACACCGGUGGCGAAGGCGGCGUUCUGGACUGCAACUGACACUGAGAAACGAAAGCCAGGGUAGCAAACGGG
Molecule: ribosomal RNA, 253 nt
Filed under: uncultured bacterium
Lineage: Bacteria
Description: partial 16S ribosomal RNA
Rfam family: Bacterial small subunit ribosomal RNA
Source: RNAcentral